This 484-nucleotide ribosomal RNA is filed under the name uncultured bacterium. RNAcentral's name for it is "partial 16S ribosomal RNA". It matches the Rfam family "Bacterial small subunit ribosomal RNA", at positions 28 to 523 of the family's 1533-position model. The record is from RNAcentral.
GAUGAACGCUGGCGGCGUGCUUAACACAUGCAAGUCGAACGGUGAAGCAGGAGCUUGCUCUUGUGGAUCAGUGGCGAACGGGUGAGUAACACGUGAGCAACCUGCCUCUGACUCUGGGAUAAGCGCUGGAAACGGCGUCUAAUACUGGAUAUGUGAUGUGACCGCAUGGUCUGCAUCUGGAAAGAAUUUCGGUUGGGGAUGGGCUCGCGGCCUAUCAGCUUGUUGGUGAGGUAAUGGCUCACCAAGGCGUCGACGGGUAGCCGGCCUGAGAGGGUGACCGGCCACACUGGGACUGAGACACGGCCAAGACUCCUACGGGAGGCAGCAGUGGGGAAUAUUGCACAAUGGGCGGAAGCCUGAUGCAGCAACGCCGCGUGAGGGAUGACGGCCUUCGGGUUGUAAACCUCUUUUAGCAGGGAAGAAGCGAAAGUGACGGUACCUGCAGAAAAAGCACCGGCUAACUACGUGCCAGCAGCCGCAGUAA